This 466-nucleotide ribosomal RNA is filed under the name uncultured bacterium. RNAcentral describes it as "bacterial SSU rRNA". It matches the Rfam family "Bacterial small subunit ribosomal RNA", at positions 28 to 507 of the family's 1533-position model. The record is from RNAcentral.
GACGAACGCUGGCGGCGUGCUUAACACAUGCAAGUCGAACGGUGACGAGGAGCUUGCUCCUCUGAUCAGUGGCGAACGGGUGAGUAACACGUGAGCAACCUGCCCCAGACUCUGGGAUAACAGUUGGAAACAGCUGCUAAUACCGGAUACGAGACGGAGAGGCAUCUCUACCGUCUGGAAAGUUUUUCGGUCUGGGAUGGACUCGCGGCCUAUCAGCUAGUUGGUGAGGUAAUGGCUCACCAAGGCGACGACGGGUAGCCGGCCUGAGAGGGCGACCGGCCACACUGGGACUGAGACACGGCCCAGACUCCUACGGGAGGCAGCAGUGGGGAAUAUUGCACAAUGGGCGAAAGCCUGAUGCAGCGACGCCGCGUGAGGGAUGACGGCCUUCGGGUUGUAAACCUCUUUCAGCAGGGAAGAAGCGAAAGUGACGGUACCUACAGAAGAAGCACCGGCUAACUACGUG